CUGGGUUUAGAACGUCGUGAGACAGUUCGGUCCCUAUCUGCCGUGCGCGUUGGAAAAUUGAGAAGAGUUGCUCCUAGUACGAGAGGACCGGAGUGAACGAACCUCUGGUGUUCGGGUUGUCAUGCCAAUGGCAUUGCCCGGUAGCUAUGUUCGGAAAGGAUAACCGCUGAAAGCAUAUAAGCGGGAAGCCUCCUUCAAGACUAGUUUUCCCUGGACCUUCGGGUCCUAAAGAGCCGUUCAAGACUAGGACGUUGAUAGGCAGGGUGUGUAAGUGCUGUAAGGCAUUGAGCUAACCUGUACUAAUUGCUCGAUCGGCUUGACCGU
Molecule: ribosomal RNA, 324 nt
Filed under: SAR86 cluster bacterium
Lineage: Bacteria; Pseudomonadati; Pseudomonadota; Gammaproteobacteria
Description: partial 23S ribosomal RNA
Rfam family: Bacterial large subunit ribosomal RNA
Source: RNAcentral